GGAAUCGCUAGUAAUCGCGGAUCAGCAUGCCGCGGUGAAUACGUUCCCGGGCCUUGUACACACCGCCCGUCACACCAUGAGAGUCGGGAACACCCGAAGUCCGUAGCCUAACCGCAAGGGGGGCGCGGCCGAAGGUGGGUUCGAUAAUUGGGGUGAAGUCGUAACAAGGUAAC
Molecule: ribosomal RNA, 173 nt
Filed under: uncultured bacterium
Lineage: Bacteria
Description: partial 16S ribosomal RNA
Rfam family: Bacterial small subunit ribosomal RNA
Source: RNAcentral